GGAGCUAACGCGUUAAGUCGACCGCCUGGGGAGUACGGCCGCAAGGUUAAAACUCAAAUGAAUUGACGGGGGCCCGCACAAGCGGUGGAGCAUGUGGUUUAAUUGGAUGCAACGCGAAGAACCUUACUUACUCUUGACAUCCAGAGAACUUAGCAGAGAUGCUUUGGUGCCUUCGGGAACUCUGAGACAGGUGCUGCAUGGCUGUCGUCAGCUCGUGUUGUGAAAUGUUGGGUUAAGUCCCGCAACGAGCGCAACCCUUAUCCUUUGUUGCCAGCGGUCCGGCCGGGAACUCAAAGGAGACUGCCAGUGAUAAACUGGAGGAAGGUGGGGAUGACGUCAAGUCAUCAUGGCCCUUACGAGUAGGGCUACACACGUGCUACAAUGGCGCAUACAAAGAGAAGCGACCUCGCGAGAGCAAGCGGACCUCAUAAAGUGCGUCGUAGUCCGGAUUGGAGUCUGCAACUCGACUCCAUGAAGUCGGAAUCGCUAGUAAUCGUAGAUCAGAAUGCUACGGUGAAUACGUUCCCGG
This 529-nucleotide ribosomal RNA is filed under the name uncultured bacterium. Its description in RNAcentral is "bacterial SSU rRNA". It matches the Rfam family "Bacterial small subunit ribosomal RNA", at positions 848 to 1377 of the family's 1533-position model. The record is from RNAcentral.